UAGGGAAUCUUCCACAAAUGGGCGCAAGCCUGAUGGAGCAACGCCGCGUGAGUGAAGAAGGUCUUCGGAUCGUAAAACUCUGUUGUUAGAGAAGAACAUGCAGGAGAGUAACUGUUCUUGUAUUGACGGUAUCUAACCAGAAAGCCACGGCUAACUACGUGCCAG
Molecule: ribosomal RNA, 165 nt
Filed under: uncultured bacterium
Lineage: Bacteria
Description: partial 16S rRNA
Rfam family: Bacterial small subunit ribosomal RNA
Source: RNAcentral